GACGAACGCUGGCGGCGUGCCUAAUACAUGCAAGUCGAGCGAAGGUUUUCUGGUGCUUGUACUAGAAAAAUUUAGCGGCGAACGGGUGAGACACAUGUAAAGAAUCUGUCUCAUAGACUGGGACAAUUAUGGGAAACGAUAGCUAAUACCGGAUUACAGUAUUUCUCGCAUUUGAGAUGUUUAAGACUUGGUUAUGCUAACUCUUUGAGAUGGCUUUGCGGUGCAUUAGCUAGUUGGUGGGGUAAAGGCCCACCAAGGCGACGAUGCAUAGCCGACCUGAGAGGGUGAUCGGCCACACUGGGACUGAGACACGGCCCAGACUCCUACGGGAGGCAGCAGUAGGGAAUCUUCCGCAAUGGGCGAAAGCCUGACGGAGCAACGCCGCGUGAGUGAAGAAGGAUUUCGGUUCGUAAAGCUCUGUUGUUAGGGAAGAAUGGAUGUGUAGUAAAUAGACAAGUAAGAGACGGUACCUAACCAGAAAGCCACGGCUAACUACGUG
This 499-nucleotide ribosomal RNA is filed under the name uncultured bacterium. RNAcentral describes it as "partial 16S ribosomal RNA". It matches the Rfam family "Bacterial small subunit ribosomal RNA", at positions 28 to 507 of the family's 1533-position model. The record is from RNAcentral.